AGAAUGCCCGCGUGAGGGAUAGCAGUGAAAAACCCACAGCCUGACGAAGGAAGAGCGAGGACUUGCAACGAAUAGCCCGACCCUUU
Molecule: small RNA, 86 nt
Filed under: Flavobacterium limicola
Lineage: Bacteria; Pseudomonadati; Bacteroidota; Flavobacteriia; Flavobacteriales; Flavobacteriaceae
Description: Flavo-1 RNA
Source: RNAcentral